RNAcentral lists this unclassified non-coding RNA (377 nucleotides) under Hevea brasiliensis (rubber tree). The record is from RNAcentral. Lineage: Eukaryota; Viridiplantae; Streptophyta; Magnoliopsida; Malpighiales; Euphorbiaceae.
GGAGAGGAUCAUGUUGGAUGGUUCCCCUGAGAGCCCGCUGGAGUACAUUCAGGUUCAGAUUUCAGAUGUGGAGUCUAAAUUCCCUAGUGCGGUAUCUGAGACAGGAGAGGUUAAAGUUGAAGGCCAGAUCAAGGAUGGAAUACCGCAUUUGACUAAGGUAGGGACGUUCCAGGUGGAUGUAAGCAUGGAAGGAAGCCUGAUUCUGUGCAGGCAGGUUGAUCAGCCUGGAAUGAUCGGGCAAGUUGGGAGCAUCUUGGGUGAGCAGAAUGUAAAUGUGAGCUUCAUGAGCGUUGGCAGAAUUGCUCCUCGAAAACAUGCUGUUAUGGCUAUUGGUGUAGAUGAAGAACCCAGCAAAGAAGCUCUUGAUAGUAUCGGUC